AACGAACGCUGGCGGCAUGCCUAACACAUGCAAGUCGAACGAGACCUUCGGGUCUAGUGGCGCACGGGUGCGUAACGCGUGGGAACCUGCCCUUAGGUUCGGCAUAACUCCCCGAAUGGGGUGCUAAUACCGGAUAAUGUCUUCGGACCAAAGAUUUAUCGCCUUUGGAUGGGCCCGCGUUGGAUUAGCUAGUUGGUAGGGUAAAAGCCUACCAAGGGGAAGAUCCAUAGCUGGUAUGAGAGGAUGGUCAGCCACACUGGGACUGGGACACGGCCCAGACUCUGACGGGAGGCAGCAGGGGUGAAUAUGGGACGAUGGGCGAAAGACUGAGCCAGCAAUGCCGCGUAAGUGAUGAAGGCGUGAGGGUGGUAAAGCUCUUUUACCCGGGAUGAUAAUAACAGUACCGGAAGAAUAAGCUCCGGCUAACUCCGU
This 432-nucleotide ribosomal RNA is filed under the name uncultured bacterium. Its description in RNAcentral is "partial 16S ribosomal RNA". It matches the Rfam family "Bacterial small subunit ribosomal RNA", at positions 29 to 506 of the family's 1533-position model. The record is from RNAcentral.